Long non-coding RNA from Gadus morhua (Atlantic cod), 251 nucleotides. RefSeq lists it as uncharacterized. NCBI's taxonomy places the organism in Eukaryota, Metazoa, Chordata, Actinopteri, Gadiformes, Gadidae. The record is from RefSeq and is a predicted model, not a curated record. The transcript is spliced from 3 exons.
GCCUCACCAGCCACGGGCCUCACUACACGUCUCUGAUACCUAUCUGAUAUAUCAGAGCCGACUCCUGAGAGCAGACGUAUCUGAAGCUGUCAGGGAGGAACCAUGGCUACCAUCUCUGAACCGGACCCUGGACUCUCUGAGGAACCUGGGGACGCGUCUUUGGACCGGAGGGAGCGCAGGAAGAGAGGAUCUGCUGGUAGAGCAAAGAAGAAGGCUAACUUCAGACGCCGUGGAAGCCGUCAGAGAGUAAC